AUGCAGAUCGUGCAGGAGGUGGAGGCCACGGGGGGCAACGUCGGCGCCUCCGCCUCCAGGGAGCAGAUGGUCUACAGCUACGACACACUAAAGGCAUACAUUCCGCAGGCCGUCGAGGUGCUCCUCGACUCCGUCCGCAACCCGCUCUUCAUCCAGGACGAAGUCGACCGGCAGCUGGCCCUUACUCGAGAGGAGGUCCAGGAGGUGCAGAAGAACCCGGAGAAGUUUCUUCAGGAAGUACUUAACCUUGUUGGAUACGAGGGGGCGAUCGCGAACCCGCUGAUAGCUCCUGAGGAGGCUCUUGAGAUCAUCAAUGCCGAUAUUAUUCGGAAGUUCUACCAUGAAAACUUCACUGCUGAUCGUGUGGUUCUAGCAGCGUCAGGUGUUGAUCAUCAACAAUUGUUAGAUGUUGCAGAACCUUUGUUGUCUGAUUGGCACAAGGGGUCCCCUGUGGAAACACCAAAGUCUACGUAUACAGGUGGUGAUUUCAGACACAAAGCAGAAUCAGAUAUGACACAUGUUGCGUUGGCUUUUGAAGUGCCAGGCGGCUGGCUUAAAGAGAGAGAUGCUACAAUUAUGACCGUCAUACAGACCUUAAUGGGUGGCGGCGGCUCAUUCUCCUCUGGUGGUCCUGGAAAAGGGAUGCAUUCACGGCUUUACCUGAGAGUCCUAACUCGAUAUCAUGACGUCCAAUCAUUUUCAGCAUUCAGUAAUGUAUAUGAUAGCACUGGCCUCUUUGGUAUCUAUUUGACAACGCCACCAGAUUUUGUUGCAAAGGCUGUUGAUAUCGCUGUGCAGGAAUUGAUUGCUAUUGCAACGCCUGGACAAGUAACGGAGGUUGAGCUGACACGUGCGAAAAACUCGACGAUUUCAUCCGUGUUAAUGAAUCUUGAGUCAAGGGUGAUUGUUGCAGAAGAUAUAGGGAGGCAGCUUUUGACUUAUGGUAGCAGGAAGCCUAUCGAUCAUUUUCUUCAGUGCAUGGAGGAACUGACCCUAGAUGACAUUACAGCGUUUGCUAAGAUGUUGUUAUCUUCCCAACCUACAAUGGCUAGCUAUGGAGAUGUCGAUAAAGUUCCGCCGUAUGAGUUUGUUAGCAAGCGGUUCCAACGGUUCCGAUAG
This 1119-nucleotide ribosomal RNA is filed under the name Triticum aestivum (bread wheat). Its description in RNAcentral is "partial small subunit ribosomal RNA". Lineage: Eukaryota; Viridiplantae; Streptophyta; Magnoliopsida; Poales; Poaceae. The record is from RNAcentral.